UACGUAGGGUCCAAGCGUUAUCCGGAAUCACUGGGCGUAAAGCGUGCGUAGGUGGUUCGUUAAGUGAGAUGUUAAAACGUGUGGCUCAACCAUAUCGUUGUAUCUCAUACUGGCGAACUAGAGGAUGGCAGAGGCAAGUGGAAUUUCUCGUGUAGCAGUGAAAUGCGUAGAUAUGAGAAGGAACACCAAUGGCGAAGGCAGCUUGCUGGGCCACCCCUGACACUGAGGUACGAAAGCGUGGGGAGCGAACAGG
This 253-nucleotide ribosomal RNA is filed under the name uncultured bacterium. RNAcentral's name for it is "partial 16S ribosomal RNA". It matches the Rfam family "Bacterial small subunit ribosomal RNA", at positions 524 to 776 of the family's 1533-position model. The record is from RNAcentral.